CUACCCGCCACGCGCUCUUCGCUGGCCUGUGGGACACAGGCCUCCCCCCCCACCUCCCCUUCUCGGCCUUCGCGAGUGUGGGCGCCUCGGGGCACUGGCGAGCCGCUCCAG
RNAcentral lists this long non-coding RNA (111 nucleotides) under Bos indicus x Bos taurus (hybrid cattle). RNAcentral describes it as "WT1 antisense RNA conserved region 1 (ENSBIXG00000016337.1)". It matches the Rfam family "WT1 antisense RNA conserved region 1". Lineage: Eukaryota; Metazoa; Chordata; Mammalia; Artiodactyla; Bovidae. The record is from RNAcentral.